GGGGGGGGGGGGGGGGGGGCCUGGCGGAGGCGGGGGUGGCGGCGGAGGGGGGCGGGGUCCUGGGUUCAGCGGCGGACGGGUGGGGAAUGCCUGGGGAUCUGACUGGUAGGGGGGGGUAACGUCCGAAGACGGGCUCUACUCCGGCGUGCGUCCGGAUGGAGAGACUGGGGGAGCUUGAGACCUCACGCUAGCAGUGGCGCCUCGGGCGGAUUAGCUAGUUGGUGGGGUAACGGCCUACCAAGGCGACGAUCCGUAACUGGUCUGAGAGGAUGAUCAGUCACACUGGAACUGAGACACGGUCCAGACUCCUACGGGAGGCAGCAGUGGGGAAUAUUGGACAAAGGGCGAAAGCCUGAUCCAGCCAUGCCGCGUGUGUGAAGAAGGUCUUCGGAUUGUAAAGCACUUUAAGUUGGGAGGAAGGGCAGUAAGUUAAUACCUUGCUGUUUUGACGUUACCAACAGAAUAAGCACCGGCUAACUUCGUG
RNAcentral lists this ribosomal RNA (484 nucleotides) under uncultured bacterium. RNAcentral's name for it is "partial 16S ribosomal RNA". It matches the Rfam family "Bacterial small subunit ribosomal RNA", at positions 39 to 507 of the family's 1533-position model. The record is from RNAcentral.